CACAGCUGGGAUGUGGCAGAACUGGGGUUCCAGCUCCUGUUCCCAUUGCUGGACAGCUGCCACAUCUGGCACCCAAUUUAGGACCCCAUGGGGAGGCCCAGUUCCUGGGGGUGGCGGGGGAUCCUAGAGGGAAGUGGUAAGGCCAGGACCCUGGAGCAGGGCCAGUGGAAUGUCACCAUUGCCCAGGUGGGGAUUUUUGUGUGUUUUGUUCACUGCUGUACACCCAGCCCCCAGCACAGCGCCUGUCCAGGACAAGUGCCCAGUAAACACUCGGGAAGCAAUGCAAGCGUCCUCCCAGCAGCUCCUGCAAGCAGACCCCCGACCCAAGCCCUUCCUUCUGCCUCCACUGCCACCAUUGCUGCUCAUCUCUGCUGGCACAGAAGUCUCUUCCCUGGUCUUCCAGAAAUCCCCUCUCCACACUCAGCCAGAGGGAGCUGUUAAAACUGCGGGCCAGCCCACAUCCGUCCACAGCAAAGUCCUCUCUAAGGGAUCCCUGUUGCUUGGAGAAUAAACCCUCAGAUUCGUUCCUUCCUUGGCUCUCGG
This 543-nucleotide long non-coding RNA is filed under the name Pongo abelii (Sumatran orangutan). Its description in RNAcentral is "lincRNA". Lineage: Eukaryota; Metazoa; Chordata; Mammalia; Primates; Hominidae. The record is from RNAcentral.